GAUGAACGCUGGCGGCGUGCCUAAUACAUGCAAGUCGAGCGAACAGACGAGGAGCUUGCUCCUCUGACGUUAGCGGCGGACGGGUGAGUAAAACGUGGAUAACCUACCUAUAAGACUGGGAUAACUUCGGGAAACCGGAGCUAAAACCGGAUAAUAUAUUGAACCGCAGGGUUCAAGGGUGAAAGACGGUGUUGCUGUCACUUAUAGAUGGAUCCGCGCCGCAUUAGCUAGUUGGUAAGGUAACGGCUUACCAAGGCAACGAUGCGUAGCCGACCUGAGAGGGUGAUCGGCCACACUGGAACUGAGACACGGUCCAGACUCCUACGGGAGGCAGCAGUAGGGAAUCUUCCGCAAUGGGCGAAAGCCUGACGGAGCAACGCCGCGUGAGUGAUGAAGGUCUUCGGAUCGUAAAACUCUGUUAUUAGGGAAGAACAAAUGUGUAAGUAACUAUGCACGUCUUGACGGUACCUAAUCAGAAAGCCACGGCUAACUACGUG
This 497-nucleotide ribosomal RNA is filed under the name uncultured bacterium. Its description in RNAcentral is "partial 16S ribosomal RNA". It matches the Rfam family "Bacterial small subunit ribosomal RNA", at positions 28 to 507 of the family's 1533-position model. The record is from RNAcentral.